GACGAACGCUGGCGGCGUGCCUAAUACAUGCAAGUCGAGCGAUGAAGGAGAUACUUGUAUCUUUUGAAGAGCGGCGAACGGGUGAGUAACGCGUGGGGAAUCUGCCAAUGAGUGGGGGACAACAUUUGGAAACGAAUGCUAAUACCGCAUAAAAUCUAUUGAGACAUCUCAAGAGAUUGAAAGGAACAAUUGUUUCGCUCGUUGAUGAUCCCGCGUUGUAUUAGCUAGUUGGUGAGGUAAGGGCUCACCAAGGCGAGUAUACAUAGCCGACCUGAGAGGGUGAUCGGCCACAUUGGGACUGAGACACGGCCCAAACUCCUACGGGAGGCAGCAGUAGGGAAUCUUCGGCAAUGGACGAAAGUCUGACCGAGCAACGCCGCGUGAGUGAAGAAGGUUUUCGGAUCGUAAAGCUCUGUUGAUGUUAAAGAACGUUGAUGAGAGUGGAAAGUUCAUCAAGUGACGGUAAACAACCAGAAAGGGACGGCUAACUACGUGCCAGCAGCCGCGGUAA
Molecule: ribosomal RNA, 511 nt
Filed under: uncultured bacterium
Lineage: Bacteria
Description: partial 16S ribosomal RNA
Rfam family: Bacterial small subunit ribosomal RNA
Source: RNAcentral